GCGUUGUCCGGAAUCAUUGGGCGUAAAGCGCGUGUAGGCGGCUCGAUAAGUCUGCUGUGAAAGUCCAAGGCUCAACCUUGGGAUGCCGGUGGAUACUGUCGAGCUCGAGUCCGGAAGAGGAGUGUGGAAUUCCUGGUGUAGCGGUGAAAUGCGCAGAUAUCAGGAGGAACACCAAUGGCGAAGGCAGCACUCUGGGACGUGACUGACGCUGAGACGCGAAAGCGUG
RNAcentral lists this ribosomal RNA (226 nucleotides) under uncultured bacterium. RNAcentral describes it as "partial 16S ribosomal RNA". It matches the Rfam family "Bacterial small subunit ribosomal RNA", at positions 538 to 763 of the family's 1533-position model. The record is from RNAcentral.